This 1858-nucleotide unclassified non-coding RNA is filed under the name Leishmania donovani. RNAcentral's name for it is "gene:unknown". Lineage: Eukaryota; Euglenozoa; Kinetoplastea; Trypanosomatida; Trypanosomatidae. The record is from RNAcentral.
GCUACCUCCACCAAUCCACCCCUUAUCUUUGAGUGCCUCAUUGCCCUUCUUUGCCGGUGAGGAGGGAGCGGGUCGAUGCACGAAAAAAAAAACGAAUAUCGGCACAUCCGGGGCAGCGACGACCACACCACGCUCGCAUAAGCCCUGUGCGUGUGUGUGUGUGUGUGUGCCUGUUUGUGUAGUUCACAACCCUCCUCCUCUCCCCUUUUCUUUUGUGUGAGCAUUUCUUCUGCUGCUCUGCGUCACACAUGGCACACGUGGUGCAUCGAGAAAUAGAUGUACACCCCUCGCACACCCCACACCGCCGAGCCUACAGCCACACGGAGAAUAGAAAAGGGGAGUGCCACCGGCAGUGCCGCCUCCCUUUUCAUUGUAAACAAUGCAGUGCCGUGCUCCUUUUGAAAUCAGGAAAACACAAAAUCGAAACUUAUCAUCAUCGCAUGAGGACUGGAAAACGAACGCAAGCCGAAGUUGUAUGUUGCGUCCCCCAUCCACUAUCUUUCUUCACGAACAAUAGGCUACGUGGGUCGUGUUCCCGGGUGUGCGUGCAGCGUGCGACGGUGCAUGAUUGGCCUCUGAAUGGAAGAGAUCCCACUUGAGCAGCACAGAGAGAUGCGCUCUCGCACGCACGAGCAACAUACACCGGAUCGCACGCUCGCGGAUAGUCACCCGCGACAAGAGCUUGGCUUUGCGCGAGAGUGAGGCAUCCGCACACGCGGGGUCACUAGAUCCCUCACAUGGGCGGCUUUCUCUCCGCGCUGUGAGAGGUGUUCUCCGAGUGCAAGAUGCUAGACCUGUGAUUUGGUGGGGCCGGGGAGGCGUUUUAGGGCGUCGUUGCUGAAGGCGUUGGCAGCACUAUACCUCGAAGGGAGCAUCCCCACUGUUGGUCUGAGCGUGAAGACGCUGCGUGCAAGGACAAAAAGAGGUGGGGCUCAGCCAAAGUUGUGGGGCGUAGGUGGCCAAGAGCGUUUCCGGCGCCGGAUGACCGCGCACCCAUCCAAAGAGUGCAGCCGCAUGACUUGCUGCAUGGGUGCGAGCGACUACCGGCGCGCCGAGCCGGCUGGACGGAAGCUGAACAGGCUACUCAACAGUGCUGCUCCACACAAGCUGCCGCUACUCGUGUGUCUGAGCAAGAUUGACCGCGACCCUUUGCAUGAGCACAGAGGCGUACAUCGCGCUGCUGCAGUUGAGGAAUAUAGAAAACAACCUCUACAUUGUCUUGCACAUUCCCUCGUGUACGCAAGGAAGCAGCAACGGGGCUGUGGACUGGCUUGUGGGCUAGGGAAAUCGCACGAGUGCGUUCUCAGACGUCGGCAUACGCCAAUGAUGCAAGGACGCGAGGAACCGACGGACGCACAAGUUCGGGCUUCUGGGCAGGCCGUUGUGCGCCCGCGGCGCAGCCUUACUGCAGAGACACGGAUGAACGAGAAACAAGACAAGGAAGCUAGCAACCUAAAGCGAAGGUAAGCGUCUUUCCAACCCCUUUUUUUUUGCUUGUGUGUCGCUCGUUUCGCUUCACCACCACCACCAGAGUCCCUCAGCACCAUGGCUCAUGGCAAGCGCAUUGCUGCCUGCCAUGUGCUAGCCCAUUCCACAAAUUUCUUGCCACCUGCCAUCUAUAUCUUGUUCAGUCGUUUUGUUGUUGCGUCUCACCGGCUGUGACUUUUUCUGCACAGCGCCGCACAUCCGAGAGACAGGGAGAGGACAGGGAGUGCUGCUGCUACGCUUGAGUGCGACACCUCGUCUCCAUGGACAGGCUUCCCUCUCUUUACCAUCCUUUCAUGCUUAUGCUGUGUGCCCAUUUCUGCUCUGUCCCUUUUUUUUUGGGCUUUGCUGCUGAGAAAUGGCGGCUGUGUGG